RNAcentral lists this unclassified non-coding RNA (743 nucleotides) under Hevea brasiliensis (rubber tree). Lineage: Eukaryota; Viridiplantae; Streptophyta; Magnoliopsida; Malpighiales; Euphorbiaceae. The record is from RNAcentral.
GAAACAAUAUUAAUGCAGUCUGGAGCACUAUCACCGUAUAUUUGUGGAUAAUAAUAUUUAACCAAUUGCAUCUUAAAUCUCGGGUCUAAGAUAGCUGCAAUCGCCAAAGCCAAGCUACAUUUUUUCCAGUACUCAUCAAAUCUGCUUUUCAACUUUAGAGCCAAAGAAUUAACAAAAUCAUCUGAGUUUUGACACCACUCAAUCAACUGCAAGUGAAUAUCACAGAUAUCUGGGAAAUAUGUAUUUGCCGUAGGAUACUUGCUUCCCGCAAAAACAUUGGAAACCUCAACAAAGAGCUUUAGGAAGCUAGCAAUGGCACUUAUCCUAUCCCACUCUGUCACAGUUGGACACAUUGCAUACCGAGAAUCUUGUUCUUGCAAAAGAGGAAAUGCGUCUUUGUACUCCAAAGCAGUUUCAACCAUGAUAUAAGUUGAGUUCCAAUAAAAUGAAUUAUCAAGAUUCAGACACUUCCGGGAAUCAACCCCAGCAAUUUGAGCCAUCUCAGUGAACUUUUCCUGGGUUGCCUGUGAACUUCGAACAUACCGAAUACUUUCCCGGACCUUGUGGAUUAUCUGGCUUGCUGUUUCUAAGGUAUCUUGGACCAUCAACUUGAUAACAUUAGCUGCACAGCGUGUAUCAAAUAAUUGGCCAUCACAAUAAAGAAACCUGUGUUGACAAAGCUGCUCUCUGAUUCUACUAACAAUUUUGUCAUAUGUCGAGUAGUUAUCAAAUGUCACUGAAAA